AUGUCCACAGACCAGGUCGCUGUUCACCUGCGGGAAAAACGAACCUUUUGGCGGUCGAGCAGAAGCUCCGAUUGUUCCAACGUGACCAGAGAGACAAAGGACGCAGAAGUCUGGAAGUUUAAACUGACCUCGGCAAACACAAAUCCGGUGUCGAAAGGGUGGGAGACACUGCCGCUCUUGAUGGCCGCGAUGGAGGCGGGGCCACAGCGGAAAUACCCUGCGAAGAAGUCGCCGUGUUUAACAUCUCCACCGGUGGUAAUCCUAAUCCAGGGCAGCGGGCGGCAGCCUACCGUCGCUGGUCUCCUGAGGUGUGGAGUCCACCACCUGCCACCCUUCAAAACCCUUCCCCAGGUGCCUACGAACCAGAUGGAAUCCCUGGUCUCCGCUCUGUCUGGCGUUCCAUCGGGCUUGAAGAUCAGGUCCGUCUUCAGGUUCCCAGUGUUGUCGUGA
RNAcentral lists this long non-coding RNA (450 nucleotides) under Takifugu rubripes (torafugu). Its description in RNAcentral is "lncRNA (ENSTRUG00000032454.1)". The record is from RNAcentral. Lineage: Eukaryota; Metazoa; Chordata; Actinopteri; Tetraodontiformes; Tetraodontidae.